Molecule: long non-coding RNA, 413 nt
Filed under: Vombatus ursinus (common wombat)
Lineage: Eukaryota; Metazoa; Chordata; Mammalia; Diprotodontia; Vombatidae
Description: lncRNA (ENSVURG00010018337.1)
Source: RNAcentral
GUCACGAGCCGGGGGGCAGGGCGAUGUUUGUGGUCCGCAGCUGAACACCGUGCCUGGCUGCCAGGUUGGAACCAGAGAUGAUCUCCCCAAUGGAGAGAGCAGCACCAAGGAUGAUGGAGAGGAAGGUGGCAGGAGAGCCCUGUCCAGAUGGAUUGUCUCUGAACCUUGCCCUUCCUCAAGAGGUGAGCACAGAGGAGACUGGACUGGUCACUGGGGGCCUGUUGGCCCAAGGUGAGGUGAGUCAAGGUUUCCUUGCUGAAUCCUGGGUAGGUUAUUUGGGCUGUCAUUCAAAGCCUGAUCCAUGCCUGGGAGCUUGACUCUGAGGCCUCCAUGUCUCCAGCAUUGACGAAAAUUCCCAGAGACCCCCGGUCUUACUCUGCAGACCAGAGUCUACUGCAAGGAAUGGCUUCCCC